RNAcentral lists this long non-coding RNA (202 nucleotides) under Elaeis guineensis (African oil palm). RNAcentral describes it as "long non-coding RNA (EGUI_LNC010222)". Lineage: Eukaryota; Viridiplantae; Streptophyta; Magnoliopsida; Arecales; Arecaceae. The record is from RNAcentral.
GCCAACCAAUCAUAAAUCUUUCUACUGACUUCACCAAGUCAUGAAGAGGACUCAAGACAAGUUGAACUAGGGACACCUAAAUCAGUCAUACUGAUUUCUUAGUUAGCAUGGAUCAACCCCAAUUAUUAAGUGUUGUAAUCAAAACAUGAUUCACCAUGUUGGCCAGAUAAGUGAGAUCGGUGGGAGAGAUAUGCCAUUAACU